GAUGAAGAACGUAGUGAAAUGCGAUAAGUAAUGCGAAUUGCAGAAUUUCCGUGAGUCAUCGAAUCUUUGAACGCACAUUGCGCCCACUGGUAUUCCGGUGGGCAUGCCUGUUCGAGCGUCAUUAUCCUCCCUCAAACCCCGGGUUUGGUGUUGGACCGAAGUUGUGUGAACAACUGGUCUAAAAAACAAUGACGGCGUCCGUGGGACCCUCGGUGCAACGAGCUUUUAGGAGCACGCGCCGAGUUGCAAGGACCUUCCGGGCCGGUCUCCUUUUACUAUUUUACAAGGUUGACCUCGGAUCAGGUAGGAAUACCCGCUGAACUUAAGCAUAUCAUAAGCGGAGGA
RNAcentral lists this unclassified non-coding RNA (345 nucleotides) under soil metagenome. RNAcentral describes it as "partial contains 5.8S ribosomal RNA, internal transcribed spacer 2, and large subunit ribosomal RNA". The stretch from base 1 to 121 matches the Rfam family "5.8S ribosomal RNA", at positions 35 to 154 of the family's 154-position model. The record is from RNAcentral.